GACCUCAAGUCAUGUGAGAGUACCCGCUGAACUUAAGCAUAUCAAUAAGCGGAGGAAAAGAAACUAACAAGGAUUCCCCUAGUAACGGCGAGUGAAGCGGGAAGAGCACAAAUUUAAAAUCUACCUGGUUUCCAGGUCGAGUUGUAAUUUGAAGAAACGUUUUUGACGUUCCGGGUUGGGAUAAAUCCUUUGGGAUGAGGUAUCAUGGAGGGUGAGAAUCCCGUGUAUACCAACCGCAGGGAUGUUAUUUAAUACGUUUUCUAAGAGUCGAGUUGUUUGGGAAUGCAGCUCUAAAUGGGUGGUAAAUUUCACCUAAUGCUAAAUAUAAGCGAGAGACCGAUAGCGAACAAGUACCGUGAGGGAAAGAUGAAAAGAACUUUGAAAAGAGAGUUAAAUAGUACGUGAAAUUGUUGAAAGGGAAACGAUUGAAGUCAGUCAUGCCGGCGGGAAUCAACUUAGGGGAAACUUUAAGUGCACUUCACGUUUGGCAGGUCAGCGUCGAUUUUGGAUAUCAUAAAAUGAUUGGGGGAAGGUAGCUCCUUCGGGAGUGUUAUAGCCCUUGAUAGAUGUGAUGUCUGGGAUCGAGGAUUGCAACGGAUAUCCUUUGGGCUAGCCGCCUGAUCUCUAACUGGUGUUAGGUUACGGACAGCAUGCUGACCGUGAUUUAAUUACUGGUUAAAAGGUUAGAGCGAGUGUAAAUUCGUUAAGGACGCUGACGUAAUGGCUUUAAACGACCCGUCUUGAAACACGGACCAAGGAGUCUAACAUGUAUGCGAGUGUU
This 781-nucleotide ribosomal RNA is filed under the name Dentiscutata heterogama. RNAcentral's name for it is "eukaryotic LSU rRNA". It matches the Rfam family "Eukaryotic large subunit ribosomal RNA", at positions 1 to 694 of the family's 3401-position model. Lineage: Eukaryota; Fungi; Glomeromycota; Glomeromycetes; Diversisporales; Gigasporaceae. The record is from RNAcentral.